Molecule: ribosomal RNA, 514 nt
Filed under: uncultured bacterium
Lineage: Bacteria
Description: partial 16S ribosomal RNA
Rfam family: Bacterial small subunit ribosomal RNA
Source: RNAcentral
GAUGAACGCUGGCGGCGUGCCUAAUACAUGCAAGUCGAGCGCGAGAGUGAGGAGCUUGCUCCUCAUAAUCGAGCGGCGGACGGGUGAGUAACACGUAGGCAACCUACCCUUGAGAUUGGGAUAAUUACCGGAAACGGUAGCUAAUACCGGAUACGACUUUUCCACACAAGUGGAAUGGUUAAAAGGCGGAUUUAUCUGCCGCUGCUUGAAGCGCCUGCGGUGCAUUAGCUAGUUGGUGAGGUCGUGGCUCACUAAGGCGACGAUGCAUAGCCGACCUGAGAGGGUGAUCGACCACACUGGGACUGAGACACGGCCCAGACUCCUACGGGAGGCAGCAGGAGGGAAUCUUCCGCAAUGGACGCAAGUCUGACGGAGCAACGCCGCGUGAGUGAUGAAGGGUUUCGGCUCGUAAAACUCUGUUGUUAAGGAAGAACACUUGAGGUAGUAACUGGCCUUGAGAUGACGGUACUUAACCAGAAAGCCACGGCUAACUACGUGCCAGCAGCCGCGAUAA